UAGCAAUACGAUGGAAAGUCUAGUGGCGAACGGGUGCUUAACACGUGGGCAACCUGCCAGGAAGUGGGGGAUAGCUCGCCGAAAGGCGAAUUAAUACCGCAUGUGAUUAGAGAGGACAUCCUUUCGAAAUUAAAGUCGGGGCAACCUGACGCUUCUUGUGGGGCCCGCGGCCUAUCAGCUAGUUGGUGGGGUAAAGGCUCACCAAGGCUUUGACGGGUAGCUGGUCUGAGAGGACGACCAGCCACACUGGGACUGAGACAUGGCCCAGACACCUACGGGUGGCAGCAGUCGAGAAUUUUUGACAAUGGGGGAAACCCUGAUCGAGCGACGCCGCGUGGAGGAUGAAGGUCUUCGGAUUGUAAACUCCUGUCAUUGGGGAACAAGGUGCAUACGUUAACUGCGUGCGCAUUGAUAGUACCCGAAGAGGAAGAGACGGCUAACUCUGUGCCAGCAGCCGCGGUAAUACAGAGGUCUCAAGCGUUGUUCGGAUUCAUUGGGCGUAAAGGGUGCGUAGGCGGCGCGGUAAGUCGGGUGUGAAAUCUCGGAGCUUAACUCCGAAACUGCAUUCGAUACUGCCGUGCUUGAGGACUGGAGAGGAGACUGGAAUUCACGGUGUAGCA
This 620-nucleotide ribosomal RNA is filed under the name uncultured Verrucomicrobiota bacterium. RNAcentral's name for it is "bacterial SSU rRNA". It matches the Rfam family "Bacterial small subunit ribosomal RNA", at positions 77 to 680 of the family's 1533-position model. Lineage: Bacteria; Pseudomonadati; Verrucomicrobiota. The record is from RNAcentral.